CGGUGGUUGCUGAUGCUGCUAAU
This 23-nucleotide non-coding RNA is filed under the name Arabidopsis thaliana (thale cress). The record is from RNAcentral. Lineage: Eukaryota; Viridiplantae; Streptophyta; Magnoliopsida; Brassicales; Brassicaceae.